CACGGGGGGAGCAAGCGUUGUUCGGAAUUACUGGGCGUAAAGGGCGUGUAGGCGGUCAAGUAAGUGGAAUGUGAAACGCCUCGGCUUACCCGAGGACCUGCAUCCCAAACUGCUUGGCUUGAGUAUGGGAGAGGAUGAGGGAAUUCCUGGUGUAGCGGUGAAAUGCGUAGAUAUCAGGAGGAACACCGGUGGCGAAAGCGCUCAUCUGGCCCAAUACUGACGCUGAGGCGCGAAAGCGUGGGGAGCGAACAGG
This 253-nucleotide ribosomal RNA is filed under the name uncultured bacterium. Its description in RNAcentral is "partial 16S ribosomal RNA". It matches the Rfam family "Bacterial small subunit ribosomal RNA", at positions 524 to 776 of the family's 1533-position model. The record is from RNAcentral.